CUGAUAUUUUCAGAACCUCAGCCAUAGGACAACAUCUUGAGAAUGGAUAUCAAGGAAUUGGACAAGGUGUGCUGUUAGGUGACAGUGGCUAUCCCUGCAGACAGUUUUUGCUGACACCAUACAGACAACCAGCUGCUGGUAGAGGUCAAGCAAGGUUUAACACAAGGCAUUGCUCAAUAAGGUCAACAAUAGAAAGGACUUUUGGAAUAUGGAAGAAGCGCUUUCAUAUUCUAGGAUCAGAGAUCAGAAUGAAACCAGAUAAAGCUUGCCGAAUCAUCAUUGCUUGUGGUAUUCUGCACAAUAUUGCCAUCAUGAGGAAUGAACCUGACGUUGCAAAAGAACAAUUAAUGGACAAUCAACCACAGAUGCCACCCUAUAAUGGUCAACAGGACGGAAAAGGCAUACGGGACCAUUUUGCUACCACUUUUUUUGCCUAAUAAAUUGCAUGUUUUUAUUUUUCCAUA
This is a long non-coding RNA of Mytilus californianus (California mussel), 464 nucleotides long. RefSeq lists it as uncharacterized. The transcript has 2 exons. NCBI's taxonomy places the organism in Eukaryota, Metazoa, Mollusca, Bivalvia, Mytilida, Mytilidae. The record is from RefSeq and is a predicted model, not a curated record.